GACGAACGCUGGCGGCGUGCUUAACACAUGCAAGUCGAACGGAAAGGCCCUGCUUGCAGGGUACUCGAGUGGCGAACGGGUGAGUAACACGUGGGUGAUCUGCCCUGCACUUCGGGUUAAGCCUGGGAAACUGGGUCUAAUACCGGAUAGGAGCCAUUUUUAGUGUGGUGGUUGGAAAGAUUUUUCGGUGUAGGAUGAGCUUGCGGCCUAUCAGCUUGUUGGUGGGGUAAUGGCCUACCAAGGCGGCGACGGGUAGCCGGCCUGAGAGGGUGGACGGCCAUAUUGGGACCUAGAGGCGGCCCAGGCUCCGACUGGAGGCAGCAGGGGGGAAUAUUGCACAAGGGGCGCAAGCCUGAUGCAGAGACGCCGCGUGGGGGAUGACGGCCUUCGGGUUGUAAACUCCUUUCGCGAGGGACGAAGCUUUUUGUGACGGUACCUAGAGAAGAAGCACCGGCUAACUACGUG
This 465-nucleotide ribosomal RNA is filed under the name uncultured bacterium. Its description in RNAcentral is "partial 16S ribosomal RNA". It matches the Rfam family "Bacterial small subunit ribosomal RNA", at positions 28 to 507 of the family's 1533-position model. The record is from RNAcentral.